UACGUAGGGCGCGAGCGUUGUCCGGAAUUACUGGGCGUAAAGAGCUCGUAGGUGGUUUGUCGCGUUGUUCGUGAAAACUCACAACUCAAUUGUGGGCGUGCGGGCGAUACGGGCAGACUGGAGUACUGCAGGGGAGACUGGAAUUCCUGGUGUAGCGGUGGAAUGCGCAGAUAUCAGGAGGAACACCGGUGGCGAAGGCGGGUCUCUGGGCAGUAACUGACGCUGAGGAGCGAAAGCGUGGGGAGCGAACAGG
This 253-nucleotide ribosomal RNA is filed under the name uncultured bacterium. RNAcentral describes it as "partial 16S ribosomal RNA". It matches the Rfam family "Bacterial small subunit ribosomal RNA", at positions 524 to 776 of the family's 1533-position model. The record is from RNAcentral.